CUACAAUAUUUAGUAGUAGCUAGUAGUUUGUGCACAUUUGACAGGAUUUUAGAAAAAAUAAAAAUAAAAAUAAUAAUACAAGACGUAGUCAGCUAGACGAUGAACUAUCAAUAUUAUUAAUUAAGUUAUUAUAUGAUUCAGUCACACAUUUAGCAAUAAUUGUUAGUUCUGUUUGUUGAUUCAGGAUUAGCAUCAUCUGAGGUCCUCUGAGGGGUCAGCAUCAUCUCUUCUCAAGUUUUCUGGAUCCAGACUGGAGCUUGUGUAAAUCCUAGUUACGCGAAACAUAGAAACAAAAUACAGACAUCAUUAGCAUAGCUGCUGAUCCAACAAAGUAAAAUUAGUUUAACCCAAGCUAAUGAAUAAAAAUGCACCUUUGAUCAGAUGCAACUACACUCACAAUUAAAAAGAUACAUUAUUCGAAUGCUUGGUGAAAGAGAUGUGUUUUUAAUCUAGAUUUAAACAGAGAGAGUGUGUCUGAACCCCGAACAUUAUCAGGAAGGCUAUUCCAGAGUUUGGGAGCCAAAUGUGAGAAAGCUCUACCUCCUUUAGUGGACUUUGCUAUCCUAGGAACGACCAAAAGUCCAGCGUUUUGUGACCUUAGGGUGCGUGAUGGGUUGUAACGUGGUAGAAGGCUAGUUAGGUACGCUGGAGCUAAAGCAUUUAGGGCCUUAUGAUAAUUUGUAACUGAUACGGAACUUAAUAGGUAGCCAGUGCAGAGACUGUAAAAUUGGGGUAAUAUGAUCAUAUUCUCUUGACCUCGUAAGGACUCUAGCUGUUGCAUUUUGGACUACCUGUAGCUUGUUUAUUGACGAAUCAGGACAACCACCUAGAAGUGCAUUACAAUAGUCCAGUCUAGAGGUCAUGGAUGCAUGAACUAGCUUUUCUGCAUCAGAAACAGAUAACAUGUUUCGUAGCUCGGCAAUGUUUCUAAGAUGGAAGAAUGCAGUUUUUGUAACAUUGGAAAUAUCAUUUUCAAAUGACAAAUUGCUGUCUAAUAUAACACCCAGAUUUCUGACUGUAGAGGAAGUAACAGUACAUCCGUCUAGUUGCAGAUUGUAAUCUACAAGAUUCUGUGUAGUGUUUUUUGGUCCAAUAAUUAGUAUCUCUGUCUUAUCCGAAUUUAAUUGGAGAAAAUUAUUUGUCAUCCAAUCUUUUACAUUUUUAACACACUCUGUUAGCUUAGAUAAUUGGGAAGUUUCAUCUGGUCUCGUUGAGAUAUAUAGCUGAGUAUCAUCAGCAUAACAGUGGAAGCUAAUUCCGUAUUUUCUAAUAAUAUUACCAAGGGGCAACAUGUAUAUUGAAAAUAGAAGGGGACCUAGGACGGAUCCUUGUGGCACUCCAUAUUUUACUGAUGAUAAAUGAGAUGACUCCCCAUUUAAGUAAACAAAAUGGUAGCGAUCGGACAGGUAGGAUCUAAACCAUCUUAGAGCCUGCCCUUGAAUACCUGUAUAGUUUUGUAAUCGAUCUAUGAGUAUGUCAUGAUCCCUCUCCAAGAAAUGUUUAUAGAAAACUGUAAUCAAUAUUAAUUUAAUCCUCUAACCUGAAUCUUUUGGUGAAUUAACUUUAUUAUAUUUUUCUUAAUUUGUUUAACCAGCACUAGUAAUUAAACAUGGGGUUAAUAGACAUAUUUUUGUUUUACAUCUGAAGAGCAAAAACACAAAGAACAUCAGUCCUGUUGGAGUUGAGGAAUUAACAUGGCUUUAUUGUGCCAAAUCAGAAAAGACUGAAAAGCUCCUAGAAUGAACAAAUCAUCAGUGCGUAAUUUCUGGAAUUUGGGCAGAAAAUCACUGAAUAUGAAAGACUGCAUGAAGAGAUACAGUAGAAGAAAAGCUGUUACUGAAAACGUUUGUCUUCACUCACAUGGUCCAGACUAAAGAGAAGCAGGUCUGAGGCCAGAAAUGGAGGAGUCUUUGUUGACAGUGUAUUCAGUGUUCACCAAGUGCAGCGCUGAUGCCUUAAGCUGUGAAGACUGCAUUCCCAAACUACUCUGUGAAAGCACAGAUGUCACACCCAUUAAAGAAACUUCACAAGUGAGAGCCGAUACCUCACAACCAACAACCAGGAAUCAAUGGACAUCUACGCGAGGCUUUUUCUUUUUUUCUUUUGAGGAAAGCACAGAGGACCGUCAGAGACUACAGCCACAUGAGCCAUGGACUGCUCUCACCGUUACCAUCAGGCAGAAAUUAUCACAGAACCAGCACCAGCAGACUGCAAGACAAGUUCCUUCCACAGGCAAUCAGACUGAACUGAACUUGUACCACCACACACAGUAACACCACACACACACACAUGUUUGUUUUUGUGAAAAGUUGGGACAUCCCAUAGGCGUAAUUGUUUUUAUACUGUACAAACUGUAUAUUCUAUCGACCUUCACCAACCCUACACCUAAACCUGACACACACACACAGCCUCAUAUGCACUGCACUCUAUCAGUUACACUGACUGGACUUACUAUUAUUCUGCUCCUUGACAUUCAGUUUGCACUAAUUCAUAGUGUACUGCACUGCAAAGGUAUAUCUACAGUACAUUAUUGAGUGAUUGUUUUUUAUUAUUUUUAUUUUCUGCUCUCUGUACAGUAUAAUAUUGCCAUAUAUAUUAUUUUCUACCUGGAUUGAGCCCUUAUGUAUACUGUGUAUAGUUUAAUACUGUUUAUGUGUUGCAAAUAUAUUCAGGACUUGUCAUGCUGUCAUGCUGCAGAGUUUGCAACAAACCAUUUCACUUCCU
Carassius gibelio (silver crucian carp) is the source of this 2724-nucleotide long non-coding RNA. RefSeq lists it as uncharacterized. The record is from RefSeq and is a predicted model, not a curated record. The transcript is spliced from 4 exons. Lineage: Eukaryota; Metazoa; Chordata; Actinopteri; Cypriniformes; Cyprinidae.